Molecule: ribosomal RNA, 505 nt
Filed under: uncultured bacterium
Lineage: Bacteria
Description: partial 16S ribosomal RNA
Rfam family: Bacterial small subunit ribosomal RNA
Source: RNAcentral
GACGAACGCUGGCGGCGUGCCUAAUACAUGCAAGUAGAACGCACAGUUUAUACCGUAGCUUGCUACACCAUAGACUGUGAGUUGCGAACGGGUGAGUAACGCGUAGGUAACAUGCCUGGUAGCGGGGGACAACUAUUGGAAACGAUAGCUAAUACCGCAUAAUAUUAAUUAUUGCUUGAAAAUUAAUUGAUAGGUGCAAUUGCACUACUACCAGAUGGACCUUCGUUGUAUUAGCUAGUAGGUGAGGUAACGGCUCACCUAGGCGACGAUACAUAGCCGACCUGCGAGGGUGAUCGGCCACACUUGGAAUGGGACACGGCCCAGACUCCUUCGGGAGGCAGCAGUAGGGAAUCUUCGGCAAUGGACGAAAGUCUGACCGAGCAACGCCGCGUGAGGGAAGAAGGUUUUCGGAUCGUAAAGCUCUGUUGUAAGAGAAGAACGGGUGUGAGAGUGGAAAGUUCACACUGUGACGGUAGCUUAACAGAAAGGGACGGCUAACUACGUG